AGCAGCCGCGGUAAUUCCAGCUCCAAUAGCGUAUAUUAAAGUUGUUGCAGUUAAAAAGCUCGUAGUUGAAUUUUGGAUUCUUCCAAUUGGUCCAUCUUUUAGAUGAGUACUGGUUGUGUGGGGUCUAUCCGCCUGGUGAUACGUAAUGUCCUUUAUUGGAUGUUGCGGGUAGUCAGGACCUUUACCUUGAAAAAAUUAGAGUGUUUAAAGCAGGCUUAUGCCGGAAUACAUUAGCAUAGAAUAAUAGAAUAGGACGAAGUUGUUUUAUUUUGUUGGUUUCUAGGACAACCGUAAUGAUUAAUAGGGAUAGUUGGGGGCAUUAGUAUUCAAUUGUCAGAGGUGAAAUUCUUGGAUUUAUUGAAGACUAACUACUGCGAAAGCAUUUGCCAAGGAUGUUUUCAUUAAUCAAGAACGAAAGUUAGGGGAUCGAAGACGAUCAGAUACCGUCGUAGUCUUAACCAUAAACUAUGCCGACUAGGGAUCGGGCGAUGUUGUUUCCAUGACUCGCUCGGCACCUUAU
Molecule: ribosomal RNA, 520 nt
Filed under: uncultured Archaeospora
Lineage: Eukaryota; Fungi; Glomeromycota; Glomeromycetes; Archaeosporales; Archaeosporaceae
Description: SSU rRNA
Rfam family: Eukaryotic small subunit ribosomal RNA
Source: RNAcentral